RNAcentral lists this ribosomal RNA (1015 nucleotides) under uncultured bacterium. RNAcentral describes it as "bacterial SSU rRNA". It matches the Rfam family "Bacterial small subunit ribosomal RNA", at positions 361 to 1387 of the family's 1533-position model. The record is from RNAcentral.
AUCAUUCACAAUGGGGGAAACCCAGAUGGUGCGACGCCGCGUGGGGGAAUGAAGGUCUUCGGAUUGUAAACCCCAGUCAUGUGGGAGCAAAUUAAAAAGAUAGUACCACAAGAGGAAGAGACGGCUAACUCUGUGCCAGCAGCCGCGGUAAUACAGAGGUCUCAAGCGUUGUUCGGAAUCACUGGGCGUAAAGCGUGCGUAGGCGGUUUCGUAAGUUGUGUGUGAAAGGCGGGGGCUCAACCCCCGGACUGCACAUGAUACUGCGAGACUAGAGUAAUGGAGGGGGAACCGGAAUUCUCGGUGUAGCAGUGAAAUGCGUAGAUAUCGAGAGGAACACUCGUGGCGAAGGCGGGCUCCUGGACAUUAACUGACGCUGAGGCACGAAGGCCAGGGGAGCGAAAGGGAUUAGAUACCCCUGUAGUCCUGGCAGUAAACGGUGCACGCUUGGUGUGCGGGGAAUCGACCCCCUGCGUGCCGGAGCUAACGCGUUAAGCGUGCCGCCUGGGGAGUACGGUCGCAAGAUUAAAACUCAAAGAAAUUGACGGGGACCCGCACAAGCGGUGGAGUAUGUGGCUUAAUUCGAUGCAACGCGAAGAACCUUACCUGGGCUUGACAUGUAAUGAACAACAUGUGAAAGCAUGCGACUCUUCGGAGGCGUUACACAGGUGCUGCAUGGCCGUCGUCAGCUCGUGUCGUGAGAUGUUUGGUUAAGUCCAGCAACGAGCGCAACCCCUGUUGCCAGUUACCAGCACGUAAAGGUGGGGACUCUGGCGAGACUGCCCAGAUCAACUGGGAGGAAGGUGGGGACGACGUCAGGUCAGUAUGGCCCUUAUACCCAGGGCUGCACACGUACUACAAUGCCCAGUACAGAGGGGGCCGAAGCCGCGAGGCGGAGGAAAUCCUAAAAACUGGGCCCAGUUCGGACUGUAGGCUGCAACCCGCCUACACGAAGCCGGAAUCGCUAGUAAUGGCGCAUCAGCUACGGCGCCGUGAAUACGUUCCCGGGUCUUGCACU